This 3967-nucleotide long non-coding RNA is filed under the name Zea mays. Its description in RNAcentral is "long non-coding RNA (ZMAY_LNC005909)". Lineage: Eukaryota; Viridiplantae; Streptophyta; Magnoliopsida; Poales; Poaceae. The record is from RNAcentral.
UGAUCUGCCUCAGCUCCCAGUUGAUGCGCACGUCCGUCGUCGUCCCGCCCAACCCCGUCUCCAUGGCCGAAUGAUUGGCAUUAGUUUAAUCCCCGCCCUCAUUCCCCGGCCGAUCUUUUUCCUGCCAAUGGGAAGUGAAGUCACUCACUCGAGUGCCUUUGUUAGUUUGCGUGAGGUAGAAAGCCACUCGGUACUAUCCACCACGUCCCCUAGCUCCUUUUCGGCCCCCGCGCACCUCUCUAAAUCCUCUCGUCCGUCCGUCCGUCCACAGACCACAGCUGGGAUCCCGAUCAAUGGCGCGGAGGGGCGGUGGCGGUGGCGACCGGCGGCGGCAGCGCUGGGGCGCGGAGUGGGGAGGGUGUGGCGACGGCGGCGAGGUGAUCACCUGAAGGAUUUGCUAUCGUGGUAGGCAAGUCUGAUUCUUGGCUGAUGUCGUCCUCCUACACAAUGGCAAAACAGUGUCUUCUUUUUUUUUUUCUUUUUCUUUCUCUUUCUCUGUCCCUUUUCCGGUUCUCCCUUCUGUUGGGGCACUGGAUUUUCUUUCGACUCUCUCAUCCAUCAGGUCCUGCGGCUCACGUCGAUCUGUUCAGAACAGUUGCUCGAGUGUCUCUGCUCAUCUGUCGUGUGUAUGGAGUUGUGUGCUGCCAUGGUGCGUUGUGUGUGUGUGUGUGUGCGUGUCCUGGUCUUAAGGAUACUAUAUAUGUAAACACAGUCUGAGAGGAAUGGCGGGUGUUGUGAUAAGGAGGCAAACGAAAAUGCAUAGGUUGCGUGUUUGGUGAAUAAUUCUGGGCGUUUUGUAGUCAUGUUAUUAAAGUUUAAACGUGUCUCCCAUCUUUUUUUUUCUGCCUGGAGAUUUCGUGUCUCUGUUCAUUCAUUCUUCGUACACCCUACAGUGGCGGACGCAGGACCAAAAUUCAUGGGGAGCCAAAAAAACACAUUACAACUGAGAAAGAGGCGGGGUCAGAUGAUGUCUCCAACUGAGAGCCAGGGCUCGCUGGUUCGUCAAGCUCGCCAGUUGUCGGGGACGGAUCGCAUCGUCGAGACGAGCGAGGUUGGGUUUGCCAAGAGCGGGAUGGUGUCAUGACGAUAACGAGCGAGACGAGGACGUUGGGAAGGGGGCCAGUGUUAGGCGACGUCAGGCGUCAAGAAGGAGGCGGUGGUGUCAAGAACGGAGCAUCUGGGCGGAUUGGCCCCGGCAGGUCGGGACGUCAGAAGAAACGGGACCUGAUGGAUAGAUGCGAGAACUAGAUCAAAGAGGAUGGAAGUUGAGAGAACUGCUCAGGGCAAUUUUAGCCUAUCCAAACCUUAUUUUUAUAUAUUUUACAGUAGGUUAACAUUAGGUAUAAGAGGUUAUACAAAAUUGAGGCGGGCGUCGAAAAGAAUGAGACUGGAUGAAUAGAUGUGAGGAUUAUACCAAGUAAAAGGAUGAGAGUCGAUAGAACUAGACUAAUUCGACGAGGAUACCCAUAACAGAACUGUUUUAGCCUAUCUAAAUCUUUAUUUUAAAUAUAUUUAACAGUAAAUAAACAUAAUAUAUAAAAGGUCAUAAAAAUUGAGGGGGGCCACGGCCCACUUUGCCCCCCUGUGCGUCCGCCCCUGUCUAUAUACGUGUGUACACUCUGUGGUCGAUACAUGACAUGAAUGCAUUUAAAAUUAACUAGUCGGUUGCCCAUGCGUUGCAACGGAUUAUAACAAUACCCACUUAAACUAUCCACUAAAUUUUUUUAAGAUUUUUUAUUGAUUGUCUCCACUCUCUAUAUAAUAUUUUUUUUGAUUUGGCUAACUGAUGUUAUUGUUUACUCCAUUCAAUAUAUCUUGGUACAACACGGUCAAUGAAGUGAGCGAUUAGAAGAGAUUUCACAAUGACUGACUGAACGAACAGAGAUUAUAAAAUGACAUAAUUCCACCAUACAUAGACCAAAUAAGAGAAAGUUUGUAAGCUUAAGUUUUAAAAUAAGGCACAUGAAGUCAAACUUAUAAAAAAGAUAGAUCAAAAUAUGAAGUGAUUGCUAAAGUCACGCAUCAAUAAAAACUGGAUGCGCUCCAUAUAAAUUAUGCUACUUCGUAGCAAUUACUAACGUUUAAAACCAACAAAUAACCUUUCAUUUUACUGUUAGUGUGAUAAAUCAUUGUUGCUUCAUCCAAUUCAGCAACCUCAAACACCAUGAAGUCUAUUGCGCCAAAGUGGUCUUCGAAACUACCUAAUGCUUGCAAGAGCCAAAAACGUCGUGUCGUGCUUGGGUUGUAGCCUCGGCCCGUAGUGCUGCCCCGGCCCAACACAAUUAUAUAUUUUUUAUUUUACAAAAAAAAACGUAUAUACAUAUAUACAAUUUAUAUUCAAUAUUAAAAAUAUCUAAGCAUGAUGUUCUACUGGUUAGAUAGUUUUACCCAGUGUCUCCCACCCUUCUUCCAUCAGGGCAUGUGUUCGAACCCAUCUUCUACACCGUUUUUAAUAUUUUACGCUGAUUUAAUCAAAUGGGUCGACGUGCCUGGACCAGAGUUAUGGCCCGCUGGCGUCUGGCCCAUGCCGGGCCGCCGUUUGGCCAUCUAUAGGCGUGCAACGGAUUAAUUUGAAAUAACAGUGAGGGGUUAUUUGUAAAAAGAUGACGUGGUACGACCGUUGAAACUGGUGCUUUAAAUAAAAUAUAGAUAUACAUGUAUAUUGUAUUUUAUGUUGGUUGCAUCUCAUAUUACUGUUGUGUGCAAAGUUAUAAAACUACGUUUACUGUUGUACGAUAGCUACUUACAAUUGUUCAGUAAUUACUAAAAAUUACCGAGUGAAUGAAGCUUCACCCUCGUUAACAAAUGGCACAUGUAUGUUUAUACAUUGAUUAUAAUUUAUGGUUGUGGUUUUUAGUGUAUUUUUUUGAAGUUUCUAGAAAUAUUGUAGGAAACGGUGACGCCUAAGAGGGGGAGUGAAUUAGAACUUCUAAAACUUUCUCUAAACUAGGCCACAAUUAAAUCCCUAGAGCAAAACCUAUGUAAAUAAAUAAUCUAUAAUGUGCAAAAUAGGUUUUGUCUAAGUGUUGCUAUCUCUACCGCAAUGGCUAUGUUUCAAUCUAAAUAAUCUAACUAGAGAGACAAGAUUGAAACUUAAAUACUUAAUAUAAAUGCGUAAAGCGCAAGGUAGAGAAUCAAACUGUCGUGGAUGACGCCGGUAUUUUUACUGAGGUAUCCGGAACCACGCAAGGUCCCGACUAAUCCUCGUUGUAGCCCUACGUAAAGGGAAGCCCACGCGAGGGCCAAGCACCACGGUCGAGUAACUCCAUAGAGAGCCAAGCACCAAGGCGAGCCACCUCUUGCUUUAAUUGGUUAUUCUCCUUUGCAACUUCAUUUAAAAAUGUUUCUACAACAAUAUUCUCAACGAGAACUUGGUUGCAAGGAUUAGAAUCAUCAAUUAAAUCAAAGCAAGAAGUAGAAGCAUCUUUCUUAAUAAUUUCAGGUAUUUCAACCAGUGGCGGACGCAGGACCAAAAUUCAUGGGGGGCCAAAAAACACAUUACAACUGAGAAAGAGGCGGGGUCAGAUGAUGUCUACAACUGAGAGCCAGGGCUCGCUAGUUCGUCAAGCUCGCCAGUUGUCGGGGACGGGUCGCAUCCUCGAGACGAGCGAGGUUGGGUCUGCCAAGAGCGGGAUGGUGUCAUGACGAUAACGAGCGAGACGAGGACGUUGGGAAGGGGCCAGUGUUAGGCGACGUCAGGCGUCAAGAAGGAGCCGGCGGUGUCAAGAAUGGAGCAUCUGGGCGGAUUGGCCCCGGUAGGUCGGGACGUCAGAAGAAAUGGGACCUGAUGGAUAGAUGCGAGAACUAGAUCAAAGAGGAUGGAAGUUGAGAGAACUGCUCAGGGCAAUUUUAGCCUAUCCAAACCUUAUUUUUAUAUAUUUUACGGUAGGUUAACAUUAGGUAUAAGAGGUUAUACAAAAUUGAGGCGGGCGUCGAAAAGAAUGAGACUGGAUGAAUAGAUGUGAGG